GUUAGUCUUCAAGGCAGGGUGCAAUUCCCGACCGGCGGUAUAGCCCGCAACCCGUUUCGGCGGUGGAACCCGGUGUCAUCCCGGGUGCCGACAGUAAAGUCUGGUAGAUAGAAGCAAACA
This 120-nucleotide non-coding RNA is filed under the name Limosilactobacillus secaliphilus. Its description in RNAcentral is "Lactobacillus secaliphilus FMN sequence". It matches the Rfam family "FMN riboswitch aptamer (RFN element)". Rfam says of the family: The RFN element is a highly conserved domain that is found frequently in the 5'-untranslated regions of prokaryotic mRNAs that encode for flavin mononucleotide (FMN) biosynthesis and transport proteins. Lineage: Bacteria; Bacillati; Bacillota; Bacilli; Lactobacillales; Lactobacillaceae. The record is from Rfam by way of RNAcentral.